CCCUUAGAUGUUCUGGGCCGCACGCGCGCUACACUGAUGCAUUCAACGAGUUUCUUCCUGGUCCGAGAGGAAUGGGUAACCUUUUGAAAGUGCAUCGUGAUAGGGAUAGACUAUUGCAAUUAUUGGUCUCCAACGAGGAAUUCCUAGUAAACGCAAGUCAUCAGCUUGCAUUGAUUACGUCCCUGCCCUUUGUACACACCGCCCGUCGCACCUACCGAUUGAAUGGUCCGGUGAAAUCUUCGGAUUGAGACUUUGAUUUCUUCACGGAAAACGCUGUUUUAAGAAGUUGAUUAAACCUUACCAUUUAGAGGAAGGUGAAGUCGUAACA
This 328-nucleotide ribosomal RNA is filed under the name uncultured eukaryote. RNAcentral's name for it is "partial 18S ribosomal RNA". It matches the Rfam family "Eukaryotic small subunit ribosomal RNA", at positions 1470 to 1796 of the family's 1831-position model. The record is from RNAcentral.